ACCAAAUAUUCACAUAAAUAAGAAAGAACCAGAACACAUAACUCCUAUCUGUAGGUCAGAUAGGGUACGACAUGUAUCUAUAAGGUAUGGGUUCAUUAUUGAGAAUAAUGAAGCCCAAGUCAUUGAGAAUGAUGAACCUUUGACCUAUACGGAAGCUGUCAUGAGUAAGGACUCAGACAAAUGGCAGGAUGCCAUGAAAUCUGAGAUG
This 208-nucleotide long non-coding RNA is filed under the name Elaeis guineensis (African oil palm). Its description in RNAcentral is "long non-coding RNA (EGUI_LNC059995)". Lineage: Eukaryota; Viridiplantae; Streptophyta; Magnoliopsida; Arecales; Arecaceae. The record is from RNAcentral.